This 1992-nucleotide long non-coding RNA is filed under the name Nicotiana benthamiana. Its description in RNAcentral is "long non-coding RNA (NBEN_LNC007918)". Lineage: Eukaryota; Viridiplantae; Streptophyta; Magnoliopsida; Solanales; Solanaceae. The record is from RNAcentral.
AUUUAAACUAGUAAAUAGAGUAUGUUUUUGUUGGCAGUGAGUAAAUCUUUGAUUCAGAGUCAGCGUAUAGGCCGACAAAAAAUGCUUUUCCGUUCAGAAAUCUGAAUCCUAUCUGUGGGGCCUCCCCUUCAUGUCUACGUGAGGACUGAAGAACGAGUGAAUCUUGUUUUAGGGUUUAUGCCCAUUGCCGAUCAUGUGGUCAGUUUCCCCGCUUUCGAUUCCGACCAAGAUUUACUUAUUAUUCCUCCUCGUCCAUUAGUUCAGUUCCUUAGUUCAAUCAGUCCCUUCCUCAAAACCUAUUUCCGCAAAUGCCACUGCUCUUAUUCCACAAUAUGGGAUUGCUGGUUUCACAUGUCACCCCUUUCAUAUAAAUAAAUGGAAUUGCAAUCUCCAUUCUACAUCUGCUCUGAUGUCUCGCCUGCCUGCCAGCCAUAAGUGAGCAGGGCUUUUGAAAAUAGAGAGGUAGAGCAACUAGGAGCUAAAUAUUAGAAGAGCGCCCACUCUCUUCUUCGGGAAAUCGAGUUCGCUGGGCUGGUUCCCUGUCCCCAAUAUGUAACGAAAAGAUUGAGUGGUUUACCGCAUUCAUGAAAGCACUUGCCUGUCGCAACAUGAGAAGGAGCCCUACAUCACUCGACCCCGACCGGUCAAUCUCCUGUCAUUGAUAUCUCGUGCGCGAAGGGUUACCCAUGCUCCUAAUUAAGUCCAUCUGGCUCUUCCUUCCAUCUUUAAAUUAAGGUUCAAACUCAAUCGGUUGUCCUCUCCGAUUGGCGAACCUCGAAAGAGAAGGCGGAGGAAGGAACUGAUUUCAUUAGUCUCAGGUCAGCGACAUAGCCAUGUAUUACGAGAUUAGGCCAAUCAGAAAAUGCCAAUUAUUAAUUAAUAAUAAAAGAGGUAUCGAAUUUUUGCUUUAACAACUUUCAAAGUUGCACUAGCAAUAGCAGGAGGAGGAGCACUGGUAGAAAGAACCUCUCUCAGAUGUCCAUAAAGAUGUUAUCCAAGUUAUUCAAAAGGAAGUCGAUAAAGAUUCAUUCCCUGCUCUUACUGAUGCCUGGCACUGAAGAAGAAAGAUCAGAUGCGCCAACUCUGCUCUUUGCAUGUUUUCAUGAAUCAUUGGACAAUGUUUGCGACGUGAAACGAGGCUAGGUACGACCUAUUUCUAUUGAAUUAGCCUAAUGUUUAUCAGAAUCGCUAGUUGUAAUAGAUGCAAGGGAGAAGAAGGCUAAGCUGCCCCUCCGUUGUCUCGCACACCAAGGCAAAAAGAGAUUCAACAGUCGGCUGGGGAACCGGAAUCUAAGCAUACCAAGACUCAGGAUAAGGAAGGGUAAGGCAUCUAAGAAUAAGGCAGGUAGACCCAUACUCAGGCAAGAAAGAAAGUCUCUUACAGAAAAGGCAGGAAGAAGAGGCCCUCGCUCUACAGGAAACCUAAUAGAAUGGGCUACUUCUUAAGGUGGAAUGGACCACUUAUCAUAGAAGAAUCUUUCUUACAUCGAUUACUGACUAUACGGACAGGGCAAGUCAAAGCAAAGCCGAUGCACCUGAUACGACUAAAAAAGAGAGCAAUGGUCCGAAACCCCAAGCAAUUAGACAAGGCAAGUCAAAGCAAAUCCGAUGCACCUGAUACGACUAAAAAAGAGAGCAAUGGUCCGAAACCCCAAGCAAUUGACCAGGNNNNNNNNNNNNNNNNNNNNNNNNNNNNNNNNNNNNCCAAGCAAUUGACCAGGAGAGGAUCAUCGGGAAUGGACUAAGGGCCUACCAACCCUUUCUUAAUCUAAGGCAUCUACCCCUGGCAGAAAAGAAGACGGAAAGAAAGCCGAUUGAUACCUUAGCUUUGAACCAGCUUCUUCAAUCCUGCUGCUCUUCUCCCUCUAUAUAGCGCGGGUAGCUUGCUUCCAAGCCACUGGCCGGAACCAGAUAAGGAACAAGAGAGAGAAGCAGCUCAAUUUCAAAGGUUAGGCGCGAUAGCCACUCGUGCAGAAGGAGAUGUUUGGGAGA